RNA transcript from Cajanus cajan (pigeon pea), 3012 nucleotides. It is a transcript of the gene named Tetratricopeptide repeat (TPR)-like superfamily protein, with no coding region annotated. The record is from RefSeq and is a predicted model, not a curated record. Lineage: Eukaryota; Viridiplantae; Streptophyta; Magnoliopsida; Fabales; Fabaceae.
UCAUUUCCGUUAGCGCGGUUAUCCACAAUUCAUUCUCUCAACCACGUUCCAUCCCCGAUGGCCAGCACCGCAACUCAGUAUCUCCAAAUCGCCGGCGCCGGCGCCGCUUCGAAUCACCGGAGAACCUCCAUUUCGUGCACGAAGAAAUCGAAUCCUUCGGCAUUCAAGGAAACGAAGCAAGGCUUCGUGGACUACGACCGAGGUCAGCACGAGGUCGCCACCAAAAUCACCGGCAUCCGCAAGGACGACAUCGCCGCCCGCUACCGCCUCCGCGUCGCCGGAAACCGCUUCCAGAAGGACUGGACGGUGUCCGAGGUCGUCGACUUGGUCCUAUCGCUCGACAUCUCCGACGACGUCGACGGUCUACUCAACCGCUGGAUAGGCCGCUUCGCACGCAAGAAUUUCCCCUUCCUCAUCAAGGAGUUGACGCAGCGAGGGUCCGUUGAACACUGUAACCUCGUGUUCCGGUGGAUGAAGAACCAGCGAAAUUACUGUGCGCGCACGGAUAUAUACAACAUGAUGAUUAGGUUGCACGCUCGGCACAAUCGAACGGACCAGGCGCGUGGAUUGUUUUUCGAGAUGCAAGAGUGGAGGUGUAAACCUGAUGUUGAGACUUACAAUGCUCUUAUCAAUGCGCAUGGUAGAGCUGGACAAUGGCGUUGGGCCAUGAAUAUCAUGGAUGACAUGCUGCGUGCAGCUAUUCCGCCAAGUCGGUCAACUUAUAACAACUUGAUAAAUGCUUGUGGAUCUAGUGGGAAUUGGAAAGAAGCACUCAAUGUUUGCAAGAAAAUGACAGACAAUGGUGUUGGGCCUGAUCUUGUUACUCACAAUAUUAUACUAUCUGCAUUUAAAAGUGGGGCUCAGUAUUCAAAAGCUCUGUCUUAUUUUGAACUAAUGAAGGGAACUCAUAUCCGUCCUGACACAACUACACUUAAUAUUGUUAUUCAUUGUCUAGUAAAGCUUCGACAAUAUGACAAAGCUAUUGAUAUUUUUAAUUCCAUGAGGGAGAAGAAGUCAGAAUGCACCCCUGAUGUCGUUACAUUCACUAGUAUCAUUCACUUGUAUUCUGUGUGUGGACAAGUUGAAAGCUGUGAGGCUGCAUUCAAUAUGAUUCUUGGAGAAGGGCUGAAACCAAAUAUAGUCUCCUAUAAUGCACUAAUAGGUGCAUAUGCUGCUCAUGGGAUGGACAAUGAAGCACUUUUGGUUUUCAAUGAAAUAAAGCAAAAUGGUAUCCGCCCUGAUAUUGUGUCUUAUACUUCUCUCCUUAAUGCUUAUGGAAGAUCACAAAAGCCCCAGAAGGCAAGGAAAAUAUUUGAUAUGAUAAAGAAAAACAAGUUGAAGCCAAACAUUGUCAGUUACAAUGCACUGAUUGAUGCUUAUGGAUCUAAUGGUUUGCUGGCAGAUGCAAUUGAAAUCUUGCGAGAAAUGGAACAAGAUGGAAUUCAGCCAAAUGUUGUCUCAAUAUGCACCCUCUUGGCUGCCUGUGGACGAUGCAGUCGGAAGGUGAAGAUUGACACAGUGCUAACAGCAGCUGAGAUGCGGGGAAUUAAAUUGAACACAGUUGCAUAUAAUUCAGCUAUAGGAAGCUGUAUGAAUGUAGGGGAAUAUGACAAAGCUAUAAGCUUGUAUAAAUCUAUGAGGAAGAAAAAAGUUAAAACUGAUUCUGUUACUUACACUGUGUUGAUAAGUGGUUGUUGUAAGAUGUCAAAAUAUGGUGAAGCCCUAUCUUUUAUGGAAGAAAUGAUGCAUCUAAAACUUCCUUUGUCCAAAGAGGUCUACUCAUCUGUCAUAUGUGCCUAUAGCAAACUGGGCCAAAUUGUAGAAGCAGAGUCUACAUUCAACCUGAUGAAAUCAUCUGGUUGCUACCCUGAUGUGGUUACAUACACUGCCAUGCUUGAUGCUUACAAUACAGCUGAGAAUUGGGAGAAAGCUUAUGCACUCUUUGAAGAAAUGGAAGCAAGUGGCAUCAAGCUAGAUACUGUUGCUUGUGCAGCUCUAAUGAGAUCUUUUAAUAGAGGUGGCCAACCAAGAAGGGUUCUUGGUCUUGCUGAGAGUAUGAAAGAAAAAGAAAUUCCUUUCAGUGAUACCAUAUUUUUUGAAAUGGUAUCUGCCUGUAGCAUAUUACAAGAUUGGAGGACAGCUGUUGAUAUGAUCAAUUACAUAGAGCCCUCACUUCCUGUAAUAUCAUCCGGAUGUUUGAAUCAGUUCCUGCAUUCUUUAGGAAGAAGUGGAAAGAUUGAAACUAUGUUGAAGUUAUUCUUCAAAAUGUUGGCAUCAGGUGCUGAUGUUAACUUAAGCACUUACUCUAUUUUAUUGAAGAAUCUUUUAUCAUCCGGAAAUUGGAGGAAAUAUUUAGAGGUAUUACAAUGGAUGGAGGAUAAUUUCAUUUUUUUGUGUGUAUUUUAUCAUAUUGUAAUAAACAUGGAAAAUCACACAAAUUGUGAUGCAGGUAUUACAAUGGAUGGAGGAUGCAGGAAUUCAUCCAUCAACUGAAAUGUACCAUGAUAUAUCCUCCUUUUCGCAAAAAUGCUGUGGGGAUGAAAAUGCUGCUGUCAUAAAAGAAAGACUUGAAUCCUUGAAAAGAAAAUUCGGGGAUCAAAUUUCUACAGGCCAACCUUGUGAAUCUCCUGUUCUUAGUUGACCAUUGUGACGGAAUCAUUUUUUUUCUUUCACUUAGCCGUAACACACUGAUCAGACUGCUAUGGGAGUUCUGCCUGUGAGAUUUUGUGAAGAUUGAAGGUAGAACUCAAUUUAUUGAAUCAUACGUUACUACUGUACAAAUAUUAAUUUUCAUGUUACGCCUGCAAUUUCUAAAUAAUCUCGUGUUUGGCGCUUUUCCUUUGGGAAUUGAUUUUUGCACACUCCUGUCUGAUCUUCUUUCUCAUUUAUUUAUUUUCAUUUUAUUUUAUUUUUUGGUUUUUCUUUUUGAAAGAAUACCCUUGAUGGAAACAUAUUUUCAUUGAGUACUACUUGACACAACAGAAAUAUGUUUUCGUUGUGUUUUAACUGUUU